Non-coding RNA from Acanthosepion pharaonis, 110 nucleotides. The record is from the annotation of a GenBank genome assembly. NCBI's taxonomy places the organism in Eukaryota, Metazoa, Mollusca, Cephalopoda, Sepiida, Sepiidae.
UUACGGUCAUAUCAAGUCGAAACACAGGUUCUCGUACGAUCAUCGAAAUUAAGCAACGUCAAACCUGGUCAGUAUCUAGAUGGGUGACCGCUUGGGAAUACCAGAUGCUG